Long non-coding RNA from Chiloscyllium plagiosum (whitespotted bambooshark), 1861 nucleotides. RefSeq lists it as uncharacterized. NCBI's taxonomy places the organism in Eukaryota, Metazoa, Chordata, Chondrichthyes, Orectolobiformes, Hemiscylliidae. The record is from RefSeq and is a predicted model, not a curated record.
GAAAAUUCAGUGGGAGUGGGGGGGCUGGGUGAUCUGGUAGUGGCGGACUCCGCCAACUUGUCCAACACGUUGUGGUAUGUUAGACUUUUUAAAAAACACAUUUAAGCGCGAACGCCAGAGGUGCAGUUCGGGAUAUCUGCGUCAACUCAUCAUUAAAGAGAGAGAGAGAGAGGCCGGACAUUCAGCUCCCUCUGAGAAGGGAUCCAGGUGAUCACCAGUGAGCGGAGGAAGAUGGGCAUCCACAGAAAAUGAAGAGGAAAACUGGGGGCAGGACUGAGUGGAAAUCAAAGGUACAUUACACACCUUCAACUUCAUAACAAGAGCACAAACUUUGGGAAUCUAGCAUCAGGCAUAUGAACAAGAUGUCUUCCCAAUGGACUAUUAAUGCUGAGCAAGCUGGCUCUGAAGCGGAUACUGUUAUUGGACUGUCUUUUUCCCCAUCAAGUUGGAGGAUCGUUUGAAGGUAUUGCUGGUGGGACUUCUCUGGUGUUAUCAGGUACCUGCUUUUCAGUAUUACAGAAGCAAUAUCUGAACUUGUGCCCAAAGUGACUGUUGUUUGCUUCAGCCAAUUCAGUAAACUGCACCGUUCUAAGAACUGUCAGAAGAAAUUCAAUGACAGAAUGGACACCUUACUUUCGAAAAUUUGAAAUCAUCACCAUUUGGGGUCCUGAAUAUCAUAAGUUCUGUCAGCCACUGGGCUAUCUGCUUGUUUAUAGCACUGGAUGGUUUUUAUUUAUUUGUUUCCAUUGGUAAGCAUGCCACCAAUGGUGAUCUUGCUGCAAAAGAGAUUUGAUGUGGGUUUUAAAAAAAGUCUCUUGACAGAAUAAAUAGAAACUAUUCCCAUCGUUGAAAGAGUCAAGAUCCAGAGGAGACAGAUCUAAAAGAAGUAGCAAAAGAAUCAAAUAUUUUAAGGGAUACUUUUUUUCAUUAAACAGUAAUUGAUUAAUGUCUGAACUGCAUUGCCCAAGAUGAUAGAGACAAAUUCAGAUUGUGAAUUUGAAGAGGGAAUUGGAGAAGCAUCUAAAAUAAAUAUUUGCAUUGACAGGAAAAGAGCAGGAAAAUCAGACUUGCUAAAUCCCAAAUCAUCUGUAGAGGUACUGAAUAUUGUGCAGUCAUGAGUAAACAUUCCACUUUUACUUUAUAAUGGAAGGAAGGUCAUUGACUCAACAGUUGACACCGCCUCAAGAAACUGCUACAGCAAUAUCUCAGGAAAGAAUGGAUAUCCCAGCAACCAUAACUUUCUUCUUCUGUUCUAGUUAUGACUCAACCAACCAAUGGGGACUCUCCCACUCUGUUGGUUCAAGUUUUGCCAGGGGUCCCUUAUGCCAAUCUGAACCAAAAACUGCCUUUAUUUCAAGUUACCCAAACUAUGCAUUAGUGAGGUUAUUACUGUGGGGGUGCUAUCAGGUAGCACUUAAUGACACCUUCAAUCACUUUGCUAAUGAUGAUGAUGAAAGGCCUGAUGGGACAGUAAUUGGCCAGGGUGCUUUUGUCCUGCUUUUUGUGAACAAGACAUGCCAGAUUGUUUUUCCACGCCCAUAGAUGCCCAAAGUAUUCUGAUAUGUUCAUAUGUUUUGUAAGUUAGGCCUGGAUUGUAGAUGCUCAGGAAGGCAAGCAUUUUUCAGAAACUUUCAUAAGUAUUCUUGUAUAGAGAAUAAAUUAGAAUGAGAAUUAUGUAAAUGUCAUUGCAAUGGUUUUUGAACGAAAAGCAAAAGCCAAUCUACAAAAUAGAAGAUUUAUUUCUUAUGAUUUUAGCUUUACAAACUGAAAACCAGCCCUAUAUACAAAACAAGUUAAUUCUAAAAAAAUUAGUUAAUUUCCAUAUUUAUAAAGAUCAAAAGAUGAAUCAAUCUGGUUUGUG